Molecule: ribosomal RNA, 460 nt
Filed under: uncultured bacterium
Lineage: Bacteria
Description: partial 16S ribosomal RNA
Rfam family: Bacterial small subunit ribosomal RNA
Source: RNAcentral
CCUACGGGAGGCAGCAGUGAGGAAUAUUGGUCAAUGGACGAGAGUCUGAACCAGCCAAGUAGCGUGAAGGAUGACUGCCCUAUGGGUUGUAAACUUCUUUUAUAAAGGAAUAAAACGAGGCACGUGUGCCUUUUUGCAUGUACUUUAUGAAUAAGGAUCGGCUAACUCCGUGCCAGCAGCCGCGGUAAUACGGAGGAUCCGAGCGUUAUCCGGAUUUAUUGGGUUUAAAGGGAGCGUAGAUGGGUUGUUAAGUCAGGUGUGAAAGUUUGCGGCUCAACCGUAAAAUUGCAAUUGAUACUGGAAGUCUUGAGUACAGUUGAGGUAGGCGGAAUUCGUGGUGUAGCGGUGAAAUGCUUAGAUAUCACGAAGAACCCCGAUUGCGAAGGCAGCUUACUAAACUGUGACUGACAUUGAUGCUCGAAAGUGUGGGUAUCAAACAGGAUUAGAUACCCCUGUAGUC